AUGAACGCUGGCGGCGUGCCUAAUACCUGCAAGUCGAGCGAACGGACGAGAAGCUUGCUUCUCUGAUGUUAGCGGCGGACGGGUGAGUAACACGUGGAUAACCUACCUAUAAGACUGGGAUAACUUCGGGAAACCGGAGCUAAUACCGGAUAAUAUUUUGAACCGCAUGGUUCAGAAGUGAAAGACGGUCUUGCUGUCACUUAUAGCUGGAUCCGCGCUGCAUUAGCUAGUUGGUAAGGUAACGGCUUACCAAGGCAACGAUGCAUAGCCGACCUGAGAGGGUGAUCGGCCACACUGGAACUGAGACACGGUCCAGACUCCUACGGGAGGCAGCAGUAGGGAAUCUUCCGCAAUGGGCGAAAGCCUGACGGAGCAACGCCGCGUGAGUGAUGAAGGUCUUCGGAUCGUAAAACUCUGUUAUUAGGGAAGAACAUAUGUGUAAGUAACUGUGCACAUCUUGACGGUACCUAAUCAGAAAGCCACGGCUAACUACGUG
Molecule: ribosomal RNA, 496 nt
Filed under: uncultured bacterium
Lineage: Bacteria
Description: partial 16S ribosomal RNA
Rfam family: Bacterial small subunit ribosomal RNA
Source: RNAcentral